Molecule: ribosomal RNA, 491 nt
Filed under: uncultured bacterium
Lineage: Bacteria
Description: partial 16S ribosomal RNA
Rfam family: Bacterial small subunit ribosomal RNA
Source: RNAcentral
AGUGAACGCUGGCGGUAGGCCUAACACAUGCAAGUCGAACGGCAGCACAGUAAGAGCUUGCUCUUACGGGUGGCGAGUGGCGGACGGGUGAGGAAUACAUCGGAAUCUACUUUUUCGUGGGGGAUAACGUAGGGAAACUUACGCUAAUACCGCAUACGACCUACGGGUGAAAGCAGGGGAUCUUCGGACCUUGCGCGAUUGAAUGAGCCGAUGUCGGAUUAGCUAGUUGGCGGGGUAAAGGCCCACCAAGGCGACGAUCCGUAGCUGGUCUGAGAGGAUGAUCAGCCACACUGGAACUGAGACACGGGCCAGACUCCUACGGGAGGCAGCAGUGGGGAAUAUUGGACAAUGGGCGCAAGCCGAUCCAGCCAUACCGCGUGGGUGAAGAAGGCCUUCGGGUUGUAAAGCCCUUUUGUUGGGAAAGAAAAGCAGCAGGUUAAUACCCCGCUGUUCUGACGGUACCCAAAGAAUAAGCACCGGCUAACUUCGUG